This 415-nucleotide unclassified non-coding RNA is filed under the name Hevea brasiliensis (rubber tree). Lineage: Eukaryota; Viridiplantae; Streptophyta; Magnoliopsida; Malpighiales; Euphorbiaceae. The record is from RNAcentral.
GGGAAGGAUGGCAGCAGAAGUUGCUAUGUCUAAGAAACAUUUUGAGGGAAAAGAUUAAGAUCAAGGCUCCAUUUGUUUCACCAAAGUGGAAAAUGUUUUUCCAAGAAAAAUAUUUUAUGAGAAAAUAAAUUAUUGUCCAUUGUUUGACUGCAAUGUUGAAAAAACAAAGGAAAUUUAUUUUCUACUUUUGGAGUCCUCCUGAAAAUGUUAAUUUUCUUUCAAUUUAUGCUACAAAAAUGUUGGGAGUAUUAAAAACAUCAUUGUUUACCCUUUAUUGUUAAACAUGAGAUAAAAAUACCUAAAAAUGGUCAAUUGUGGCAAUCAUCACCUGUAGCUGAUGAUCGGUGGUGGCCACUGGUGGUCAAAGAUAAUCGGUAGUGGCCUGUAGACUAAUAGGUAUUUGUUUAUGUAAUGC